Molecule: ribosomal RNA, 472 nt
Filed under: Bacillus sp. GA CAS10
Lineage: Bacteria; Bacillati; Bacillota; Bacilli; Caryophanales; Bacillaceae
Description: bacterial SSU rRNA
Rfam family: Bacterial small subunit ribosomal RNA
Source: RNAcentral
GCUACCACUUACAGAUGGACCCGCGGCGCAUUAGCUAGUUGGUGAGGUAACGGCUCACCAAGGGAACCAAGGCGUACCCGACCUGAGAGGGUGAUCGGCCACACUGGGACUGAGACACGGCCCAGACUCCUACGGGAGGCAGCAGUAGGGAAUCUUUCCGCAAUGGGACGAAAAGUCUGACGGAGCAACGCCGCGUGAGUGAUGAAAGGUUUUCGGGAUCGUAAAGCUCUGUUCGUUAGGGAAGAACAAGUACCGUUCGAAUUAGGGGGGGUACCUUUGACGGGUACCUAAACCAGAAAAGCCCACGGCUAAACUACGUGCCAGCAGCCCGCGGUAAAUACGUAGGUGGGCAAGCCGUUGGUCCGGGAAUUUAUUGGGGCCGUAAAGGGCUCGCAGGGCGGUUUCUUAAGUUCUGAUGGUGAAAGCCCCCGGCUCACCCGGGGGGAGGGGUCAUUGGAAACUGGGGAACUUG